Molecule: non-coding RNA, 206 nt
Organism: Limnothrix sp. P13C2
Lineage: Bacteria; Bacillati; Cyanobacteriota; Cyanophyceae; Pseudanabaenales; Pseudanabaenaceae
Rfam family: 6S / SsrS RNA
About the family: E. coli 6S RNA was the first non coding RNA to be sequenced, but its function was unknown until recently. It consists of 184 nucleotides that fold into an extended hairpin structure with a large single-stranded internal bulge.
Source: Rfam
GUUUUGCUGCAAUGUUGGUGACUGCCAAUAAUUGUUUUGCGAUCUAUGUUUGUUCCAAUUCGGGGACUCACCGAACGUCUUAGUGGCAGUAGACUGAGCGAGCGUUUAGGCGCUUUGUUAACUCAGAAACUUUAAACGGAGACAAGAGUACCCACCUGGUUUUUCCAGGUCGGAAGCUGAGGCAAGACGGCAUUUGCGGUUAACCC